UAAUACCAGAAGAUUUCAGCAUAGCAGAUAAAAUACAGCAAAUCCUAACCAGCACAGGUUUUAGUGACAAGCGGGCCCGUUCCAUGGACAUAGAUGACUUUAUCAGAUUGCUACAUGGAUUCAACGCAGAAGGUAUACAUUUUUCUUAGGUAUCUGGAAAAGAGAAUUUUCAAGCCCAAGAAAAAGAAACCGCAAUUAUACAUAUCUAACAGAGAAGAUAAACUAUGCUUUUGCUCCACUGGAACACUAUGUGCUUGACUAGUUUUGAUUUAAUACUACCACUGUCACCAUUUAUUACUCUGAAGUUUUAUGGUAGUAAGUCAAUUCUAAGUACCCAAGUUUUUUUUUGGUUUUUUUUUUUUUUUUUUUUUGGUUUUGGUGUUUUUAAUAUUUAACAUAGGGCAGGGUCCAGUCUCUACACGGUAAUCUUUAAGAGCCGCAGGCACGCACAACUUUACACUUAAACUUAUUUCUAACAGUUUAUUGUAUAAAGAU
Long non-coding RNA from Panthera uncia (snow leopard), 495 nucleotides. RefSeq lists it as uncharacterized. Lineage: Eukaryota; Metazoa; Chordata; Mammalia; Carnivora; Felidae. The transcript is spliced from 2 exons. The record is from RefSeq and is a predicted model, not a curated record.